ACGGAGGGAGCUAGCGUUAUUCGGAAUUACUGGGCGUAAAGCGCACGUAGGCGGCUUUGUAAGUAAGAGGUGAAAGCCUGGAGCUCAACUCCGAAGCUGCUUCUGAUACUGCGGAUCUAGGGACUGGUAGAGGCUGGUAGAAUUACAGGUGUAGCGGUGGAAUGCGUAGAUAUCUGUAAGAAUACCCGUGGCGAAGGCGGCCAGCUGGGCCAGGUCCGACGCUGAGGCGCGAAAGCGUGGGGAGCAAACAGGA
This 253-nucleotide ribosomal RNA is filed under the name uncultured prokaryote. Its description in RNAcentral is "partial 16S ribosomal RNA". It matches the Rfam family "Bacterial small subunit ribosomal RNA", at positions 525 to 777 of the family's 1533-position model. The record is from RNAcentral.